This 1405-nucleotide ribosomal RNA is filed under the name Staphylococcus warneri. RNAcentral's name for it is "bacterial SSU rRNA". It matches the Rfam family "Bacterial small subunit ribosomal RNA". Lineage: Bacteria; Bacillati; Bacillota; Bacilli; Caryophanales; Staphylococcaceae. The record is from RNAcentral.
GCGGACGGGUGAGUAACACGUGGAUAACCUACCUAUAAGACUGGGAUAACUUCGGGAAACCGGAGCUAAUACCGGAUAACAUAUUGAACCGCAUGGUUCAAUAGUGAAAGGCGGCUUUGCUGUCACUUAUAGAUGGAUCCGCGCCGUAUUAGCUAGUUGGUAAGGUAACGGCUUACCAAGGCAACGAUACGUAGCCGACCUGAGAGGGUGAUCGGCCACACUGGAACUGAGACACGGUCCAGACUCCUACGGGAGGCAGCAGUAGGGAAUCUUCCGCAAUGGGCGAAAGCCUGACGGAGCAACGCCGCGUGAGUGAUGAAGGUCUUCGGAUCGUAAAACUCUGUUAUCAGGGAAGAACAAAUGUGUAAGUAACUGUGCACAUCUUGACGGUACCUGAUCAGAAAGCCACGGCUAACUACGUGCCAGCAGCCGCGGUAAUACGUAGGUGGCAAGCGUUAUCCGGAAUUAUUGGGCGUAAAGCGCGCGUAGGCGGUUUUUUAAGUCUGAUGUGAAAGCCCACGGCUCAACCGUGGAGGGUCAUUGGAAACUGGAAAACUUGAGUGCAGAAGAGGAAAGUGGAAUUCCAUGUGUAGCGGUGAAAUGCGCAGAGAUAUGGAGGAACCACCAGUGGCGAAGGCGACUUUCUGGUCUGUAACUGACGCUGAUGUGCGAAAGCGUGGGGAUCAAACAGGAUUAGAUACCCUGGUAGUCCACGCCGUAAACGAUGAGUGCUAAGUGUUAGGGGGUUUCCGCCCCUUAGUGCUGCAGCUAACGCAUUAAGCACUCCGCCUGGGGAGUACGACCGCAAGGUUGAAACUCAAAGGAAUUGACGGGGACCCGCACAAGCGGUGGAGCAUGUGGUUUAAUUCGAAGCAACGCGAAGAACCUUACCAAAUCUUGACAUCCUUUGACCGCUCUAGAGAUAGAGUNUUCCCCUUCGGGGGACAAAGUGACAGGUGGUGCAUGGUUGUCGUCAGCUCGUGUCGUGAGAUGUUGGGUUAAGUCCCGCAACGAGCGCAACCCUUAAGCUUAGUUGCCAUCAUUAAGUUGGGCACUCUAAGUUGACUGCCGGUGACAAACCGGAGGAAGGUGGGGAUGACGUCAAAUCAUCAUGCCCCUUAUGAUUUGGGCUACACACGUGCUACAAUGGACAAUACAAAGGGCAGCUAAACCGCGAGGUCAAGCAAAUCCCAUAAAGUUGUUCUCAGUUCGGAUUGUAGUCUGCAACUCGACUACAUGAAGCUGGAAUCGCUAGUAAUCGUAGAUCAGCAUGCUACGGUGAAUACGUUCCCGGGUCUUGUACACACCGCCCGUCACACCACGAGAGUUUGUAACACCCGAAGCCGGUGGAGUAACCAUUUAUGGAGCUAGCCGUCGAAGGUGGGACAAAUGAUUGGGGGAAGUC